This 344-nucleotide unclassified non-coding RNA is filed under the name soil metagenome. Its description in RNAcentral is "partial contains 5.8S ribosomal RNA, internal transcribed spacer 2, and large subunit ribosomal RNA". The stretch from base 1 to 119 matches the Rfam family "5.8S ribosomal RNA", at positions 35 to 154 of the family's 154-position model. The record is from RNAcentral.
GAUGAAGAAGUAGUGAAAUGCGAUAAGUAAUGUGAAUUGCAGAAUUCAGUGAAUCAUCGAGUCUUUGAACGCACAUUGCGCCCCCUGGUAUUCCGGGGGGCAUGCCUGUCCGAGCGUCAUUGCUGCCCUCAAGCACGGCUUGUGUGUUGGGCUCCGCCCCCCUCCCGGGGGGCGGGCCCGAAAGGCAGCGGCGGCACCGCGUCCGGUCCUCGAGCGUAUGGGGCUUUGUCACCCGCUCUGUAGGCCCGGCCGGCGCCCGCCGGCGACCCCAAUCAAUCUUUCCAGGUUGACCUCGGAUCAGGUAGGGAUACCCGCUGAACUUAAGCAUAUCAAUAAGCGGAGGA